AAUAGAUACCCCUGGUAGUCCACGCCGUAAACGAUGAGUGCUAAGUGUUAGAGGGUUUCCGCCCUUUAGUGCUGCAGCAAACGCAUUAAGCACUCCGCCUGGGGAGUACGGCCGCAAGGCUGAAACUCAAAGGAAUUGACGGGGGCCCGCACAAGCGGUGGAGCAUGUGGUUUAAUUCGAAGCAACGCGAAGAACCUUACCAGGUCUUGACAUCCUCUGACACUCCUAGAGAUAGGACGUUCCCCCUUCGGGGGACAGAGUGACAGGUGGUGCAUGGUUGUCGUCAGCUCGUGUCGUGAGAUGUUGGGUUAAGUCCCGCAACGAGCGCAACCCUUGAUCUUAGUUGCCAGCAUUAAGUUGGGCACUCUAAGGUGACUGCCGGUGACAAACCGGAGGAAGGUGGGGAUGACGUCAAAUCAUCAUGCCCCUUAUGACCUGGGCUACACACGUGCUACAAUGGAUGGUACAAAGGGCAGCAAAACCGCGAGGUCGAGCAAAUCCCAUAAAACCAUUCUCAGUUCGGA
Molecule: ribosomal RNA, 524 nt
Filed under: uncultured bacterium
Lineage: Bacteria
Description: bacterial SSU rRNA
Rfam family: Bacterial small subunit ribosomal RNA
Source: RNAcentral